Molecule: ribosomal RNA, 459 nt
Filed under: uncultured bacterium
Lineage: Bacteria
Description: partial 16S ribosomal RNA
Rfam family: Bacterial small subunit ribosomal RNA
Source: RNAcentral
CCUACGGGAGGCUGCAGUGAGGAAUAUUGGUCAAUGGCCGGAAGGCUGAACCAGCCAAGCCGCGUGAAGGACGAAGGUGCCAAGCAUUGUAAACUUCUUUUGUCAAGGGACAAAAUCAGGCUCGAGAGCCUGACCGAGUGUACUUGAAGAAAAAGCAUCGGCUAACUCCGUGCCAGCUGCCGCGGUAAUACGGAGGAUGCGAGCGUUAUCCGGAUUUAUUGGGUUUAAAGGGUGCGUAGGCGGUCUGUUAAGUCAGCGGUAAAAGCCCGGGGCUCAACCCCGGCGCGCCGUUGAAACUGGCUGUCGUGAGUUGUGGAGAGGUAUGCGGAAUGCGCGGUGUAGCGGUGAAAUGCUUAGAUAGUGCGCAGAACUCCGAUUGCGAAGGCAGCAUACCGGCUGCGCACUGACGCUGAGGCACGAAAGCGUGGGUAUCGAACAGGAUUAGAUACCCGAGUAGUC